This 7373-nucleotide long non-coding RNA is filed under the name Malus domestica (apple). RNAcentral's name for it is "long non-coding RNA (MDOM_LNC018370)". Lineage: Eukaryota; Viridiplantae; Streptophyta; Magnoliopsida; Rosales; Rosaceae. The record is from RNAcentral.
AGGAUAUGUAUACGAAAGAGAAUGGUCUCAUGAAUCUAACUUGUUUAAAUUACAUAUUCCUUGGACUUAUCGUUUAAGCAUAUAACAUUGAUAUGAGACGGCUUAAAACAAUAAUCUAUGCCCUUGAUAUUAAACUAGAUUAGUUUAACAUGUGAAAUGUCCGUAAAGUAUCAUCAUAUGAUUGGUUUUAGGGCACAUUUCCAACAUAUCCAUCCACCACCACAAAUCACCACAAAAACCUUCAACCAUCCCUUGUGCCGCAGCAAAGAAGAAGGAAGGAGACCCUUGGACGUGCUUGCCAUUCAAGACGUUGGAUUGUUGGAGCGUUUCUAGGUGUUUUCAUUCUUUGUUUUCAAUGUCUAAAUUUAUGUAUCUUUGUUUUCCGUUUAUGAGGAACUAAGCCCUUCUUGGCUAGGGGGCUAUUCAAUACCAUGAUUAUACUUGCAUUAUGAAUUGAUUACCUUCAGUUGUUAUUUCAUAAGUUGUGAAUUCAAUUUGCUUAACCGUUUGAUUGAUAACUUAUUCUUGUAUGUUUAUUAAGAAUGCACACUUAGUUUUCAUGCAAGGAUUUGUAGCUAAAAUAUAAGGGAGUUUCACCUAAUAGUUACAAACUUAUAUUUGCAAGUAGUGGAGGUCGCUUAUAAACGAUCGUGUUAAGUGAAUUCUUGGCAAAAGUUUCAUGCUUUUCAUAGUUACAAUUGCCUUGUCAAUGUUUAUAGUUUUCAUGAAACUUAAUGAUCUUUGAUUGUACCUUUAUUGUGCUUUUCACGUAGGGGACUUUUAGAGAAUGCUUUGAAUUGUUGUAUGUCUUUUCCCAUCCAAUUCAUUAACUUAAGGAGAACUUGAAGGUUAAAAAAGUGUUGUCACAGUUAACCUGGAGUAUUGAGUUUCAUGACUUAUUGAGAGAAGCAAUUGGAAAUCAAUUUGAAUGCAAGUGUUUCAUGUGUGGAGAAGAACCUCUAGUUAGCCCAUAUCUCAUCAAUUCACCUAAAUUUGCUUAAGAAUCUGUUUAAAUUGUUCUUGUUUUAAUUUACUUAUUUUCGUCCAAAACCAAACCCCCUUUACUUUGUUAAGUCAUAUUAGUUAGAACUUGUCUUAGAUUGUGUUUUUAAGUGUUUUGAGCCUUUAGAAACCCAAAUUUCGUCCAAAUUGUGUUUAGAGCUCAAAACUGCCCAGUUUGUGUUUUUAGGUGAUGCGAAAUAUAUAAGCACAAAUUAAACCCUCUUUUUAUCAAUUGUAGCAAAGUAUGUAAGUAGGGAUCGUUCUAGGCGGGGGAUUAGGAGGGAUUGCCAAAUCACUUGAAAACUGACUCAAAACGUAAAAACAAAGUUUAAAACACUAAACUAGACUCAAAGAAUGCAAAACUAAACUAUAAAACACCAAACAAAGCAAAAGACUCAAAACAGCAAACAAACACUCAAAUCUACCUUAAAAACACUUUUUGGGCAGUUUUGAACACAAACACAAAAUUGGACGAAAAUAGGUUUAAACUUGAUUCAAGACACUUAAAAACACAAACUAAAUUGAUUUCUAACUAAUCUGACGCUUCAAAAUAAAUGGGGAUUUGGUUUUGACGAAAAUUAAAAACAAAAACAAAACUUGUAAAUUGAGCAGAUUCUAAAACGAAUUUGGUUGAAUUGAAGGGAUGGAAAACUAGCUAAGGGGUUUUUCUCCACACAUGUCACACUUGCAUAUAAAACGAUUUCUAAUUGCAAUUCAAUAAACCAUGAGUACUCAACACUCCAAGUUAAUUAGGUCCGCUUAAAUUAACUUUCAGAUUUCCCUUAUGUCAAUGAAUUGGACAGAAAAAGCGCAUCGCAAUCAAAUUAUUCCUCAAAAGUUCUCUAUAUGAAAGCGCAUAAUAAAGAUACAAUCAAAGAUCAUUACGUUCAAUGGAAAUCAUAAGUAUUGACGAGGCACUUGUAACUAUGAAAGCGCAUGAAACUUAUGCCAAGAAUUUACUUAACACAAUUGUGAUCAACAACUUUUACUACUUGUGAAUAUAAGUUCAUAACGAUUAGGUGAAAAUUUCUUAUAUCCUAGCAUUAGAUUUAUGCAUGAAAAUUAAGCGUGCACUCUCAAUCAACACACACAAAUCAGUUUAAUUUGAAUAGAUAAGCAAAUUGAAUCCACAACUUAUGAAACGCAAUUAGAAGUAAUCAAAUCAUAUAGAAGCAUAAACAUGGUUUCGAAUCCCCCCCUAGCCAAGGGGGGUUUAGUUCCUCAUACUCGCAAAGCAAAGAUACAUAAAUUUAGACAUUAAAAUCCAAAGAAAGAGAACACCUAAAACGCUCCAACUUCGCAGCAGGUGCAUCCACGAUUCCUCCUUCCUCCUUGCUGCGGCACAGAGACUUUGGACAGGUUCUUUGGGUUAUUAGAUGGUGUAGAAUGGAUGGGGGAUGUAUGGUGGUGUUUAAGAUGGAUGGGUGGUGCGGCAAGGGUUGAUUUUUGGCAGAAAUUUGGGAGAAUGGUGGUGGAAGGCUACGGCAAAGGUAUGGGAUGAGUUUCUGACGUGAAUGGUUGUGUAUGAGAGGUGGGGAAUUCGGCCAAGGGGUGAUUAUGAAUAUAUAUUGGCACAUAAAACCCUAGGUAAAUCAGAUAUGGACUUGGAUAACCCAAAUCCAUCAGGAAAUAGGCCUAGAAAUCAGAAUUAGAGAAGGAAAAAGUCCAAAGGUGCGGCAUGUAUGGAUAGGCUGAGAUAAGGCUUCUAGAAAGCCUUGCAAGGCAAGGAAAACAGAUUCUAACAAGGGCUAGGUGCGGCAUGGAUUUAGGAAAUAAGGAAAGGGCUUCUAGAAAGCCCAAAACCAAGAGGAAAUAAGCCCUAGCCCACGGCAAGGAUGAGGAAAUAUUCUAAAACCCUUCUUUGUGUCUUCCAACGCUUAGGAACCUUCUAAUGUUGCUGAAACUCAAGGCCAUCUAGGUUUAGGAAAGAUCAACCCAAAGUAGAAACUUUUAGGCUUAACUUUCCUACUUCAAGUAGGAAACCUUGUUUGAGUAGGAAUCUUCAUUCUUCUAGGAAUUCUUCUUCAAUUAGGAUUCCUUCUUGGACUAGGAAUCCUCAAAUCUUCAAAUCUUCAAUUUCUUCCAAACCUUUUGUUCCAAGCAUGUGCUAUUCACUCUAAGCUCACUUUUGCUCCAAAAAGCUCCAAAUUGCAUCUUUUUAUGUAAUAUGCCCUUAAAACCUGAAAACACCUGAAACUAGCUUAAAAGACUACUUAAACAAAGAAAACAUAACGAAAAUGCAUAAGAACUAGCUAACUGAUAGGAGCAUAUUUAUGCGCCUUAGUUAGUUAGUUCUUAUGCAUUUAUGUUGUGUUUUCUUAGUUAAUUUAGUCUUUUAAGCUAUUUUCAUGUGUUUUCAGGUUUUAAGGACAAAGUAAGCAAAAGGAUGCAAUUUGGAGCAUUUUGGAGCAAAAUUGAGCUAGAAUGGAGUUCUGCAUGUGGAGCACAAAGAAUGGACGAAUUUGAAGGAUUGAAGAGCUAGGAAUGUGUUUCAAAGUUGAAGACUUGAAGAUGCAAAGUUUCCUAAUUGAAGUGGGAAAGUGCUUAAUUGAAGAUGAAAUCCUAGUCAAACAUGGAUUCCUAGUUGAAGAAUGAUUCCUAAGUGAAGUUGGAUUCCUAGAAGAUUGAAGUUUCCUACUCAAACAAGGUUUCCUACUUGAAGAAGGGAAAUUAAAGCCAAAGAAUCAGCUCAAGUGAAGAAACCUUAUCCAAAACAUUAUCCAAACCCUAUCCUAUCCAAUCCUAUCCUAUCCAAUCCUAUCUUAUCUUAUCCUAAUCCUAAUCCACCUACAUUUCAGCUACUUGGGAGGAUUCCUAGCUAGAUUAGGAUGCUUAAAAUCAGAUUUCUAGAAACCUAAUCCUUUCCUACAAAAAAUGGCGCCUAGAACCUUUCUAGAAGACCUUGGCCUUGCAUUGCAAGUCAGCCACUUCCCCUCCACUUUGUGCCGUGAGUUUCACCCAAUUCCCUUUGGAUUUUGGUUUCUAGAAGCCCUUAUCCCUUCCUGGUUUGGUGCCGCACCUUAUCACCUCAUUCCCUUUGGAUUUCUGAUUUGUUUUCCUUCAAGGAUUGUGUUUUAUUUUCCUAUGCAACUUAGGCCUUUAAAUCCUUUUCCUUUGCUACCUAGGGGCUGGAUUUUCAGCCUAUAAAUACAACCCUUUGCCGCACCAUUUAGACACCACCCUCUACCAGAUUUUCACUACAUCAUUCACCCAAUCAUCCCUCUUGUGCCGUGAAUUUGCAAAGGAGAAGGAAGGAGACUCUUGCAGCCGUGCAUGCCAUUCAAGGAGCUUGGAUUGUUGGAGCGUUUCUAGGUGUUUUCUAUCUUUAUGUCAAUGUUUAGAUUUAUUUAUCUUUGUUUAUUUGCGAACAUGAGGAACUAAUUUCUUUAUAGUUAUAGGGGAAUUCAAAGCCAUGAUCAUAUGUUUUAUAUGACUUGAUUUCCUCCAGUUAUGAUUUCAUGAAUCGUGAAUGUGGUUUACUUAUCUAUUUGAUUGAUAACAUGUUUAUGUAUGUUAAUUAAGGAUGCAUACUUAGUUCUCAUGCAUGAAUUUGACGCUAGAGUAUAAGGGAAUUUCACCUAAUCGUUAUUAACUUAUAUUCAUAAGUAGUAAAAGUCGCUAGUCACGAUUGUGUUAAGUAAAUCCUUGCCAAGAGUAACAUGCGUAUUCCAUAAUUAUGAAUGUCUCGUCAAUGUUUAUGAUUUCCAUUGAACUUAAUGAUCUUUGAUAUGUGUCUCUAUCAUGCGUAUUCCAUAGUUAGGGUCCUUGAUAAGAAUAAUUUGGUUGUAAUGCGUAUUCCAUUCAAUUCAAUGAAUCUAGGGAAAUCUGAGAAUUAAUUGGUGCAAUCUAGUUAAUUUGGGACUUUGUCAUUCAUGGUUUGUUGAAAGAGUAACUGGAAAUCGAGUCGUAUGCAUAUGUUUCAUGUGUGGAGAAGGAACCCUCUAACUAGCCUUUCACCAUUCUUUUUCAUCCAAAAUCGUUUUCAUUAAGUUUGUUUUUAAAGUUUAUGUUUUAAAGUCCAAUUUCGUCAAAACCAAUCCCCUUACUUUUAAGUCUUGUUUUUAGAGUCAAAACUUGUUCUUUUAAGUCUUUUGAGUCUUUGAAAUUCUAUUUUCGUCCAAAUCACUUAUUAGGUCUAGAAUUGAGUCUUUUUGGUUGUUAUUUGCUGUUUUGAGUGUUUUGAGUUAGUUUUGAGUCUAUAAAGUCUAGUUUAGUGUUUUUGAGUCUUAUUUGUGUUGAUUAGCAUCCCUAGUUAAUCCCCGGUCUAGAACGAUCCCUACUUGCAUCAUUACUACAAUUGUCAUCAAUAGGGUUUAAUUUGUGUGUCAAGUUAAUUUUCACAUCACUAACUAAGGUGCAUAAAUAUGCUCCUAUCAAAUUUCCCCACACUUAGCUUUUGCUAGUCCUCGAGCAAAACAAAGAGACAAAAGAAAAACAAAAUGAAACAAACCAAACAAACAAAACCUAACCCUUCCAACGUUUGCCUCAGGGAUUUCCAAUGCACAUGACAUAUUAAAAAUCAUCAUUCCCACAGAUUAAGUCAUCUUCACACUUAAGCACAUACUUAUCAUAGUCACUACUUACUAGUUCACAUUUAACCAAUUAAAACAAUGUUUUGAAUGUAGUAACAUGCCUUAGAGAAUCCCUCAAUUCCUUACUAGAUAUGCACUCAAUUUUCACUCAGAUUUUCUGACUACACACCCUAUACUAGUUAUAUGUGAGAAGAUUGAUGUAGACAUAAAAACGAACGCUCACAUAUAUAUAUAACAAAGAAAGCAUUUUCUGGAGUUAAUAAGCAUUUAGAUAUGAUCUCAUGAAUGGAAUGCUACUACUUAGAUGCGAGAACGAGUGACACCAUAUGCUCAUACCAAUUCUAAACUCCACAAAUUGAAACGCACAACACUCAAGAUUAAAGUCAACGGUUGUAACGGGGCUUGGAGUAUUGGCUAACAAAGAACGGAUAGGGAUCACAAAGGUUCUUUAAGCAAUAGCAAGCAAGUCAAUGAAAUCGAAACUUAGAAUUCACUUUAAAGCGCAGAAAUCAACUUUUAAACACAAGGGAAGAUUCAUGCAAUACUUAGGGUCGAAUUCAAUGUUUUAGACCCUUUCUUCAACAAUCAACACUUAAGAACUCUUUUUUACAUCUUUUCAACUCUUUUUUUCAUACUUUUCACACUUUUCUUUUUUCUUUCUUUCUUUUCACGAAUUUUUCUUUUCUUUUCUUUCUACCCGUGCCUCAUUAAAGACUUUGGCACACACACAUAACAAAUCCUUUCCCCCACACUUGUUUUCUGCAUACAUUGAUAAAAAGGAAUUCAAUUGAGUCAUGCUUUACUAUGCUUCAAGAAAAAGGGUAUGGAUGGUCCUAAUCUGGGUUAGGUGAGGAUGAUAUGGGUUAACAAAGAACAUAGGCUACACAAGGCUCAACGGGGUUAAAACCUACAAAACAAAUGAACAUGGGGAACACGGCAAUUUGGCUUAAAUAGUGGUCACUACACAACUUCAUCUUGAAUAUGUGUUAUGCAAAUCAAUAACAUGCUUUAAAUGAAAUGGGCAUGAGUUCUAGUGUUUGGAACUAAAUGAUGAAACGCCUUCUAAGUAGCAACCAAGCAAAGAAUAAUGAGAUCAUGGAACGACUUUAGAAAACAACAAUGCACAUAUUAUUAACUCUUCAAAUAAACGUUUAGGCUCAAGUCUCACAAGGUUGUAGCGUUAGUUUGAGUUCCUUCCUUCAAGCAUGUUACAAAAACCAAUUUUUUUUUCUUUAUGAUUACAUGUGAAUUUAUAAGUUAUAACCACAACCAAGCACAAACCAAAGAGUAAAUCAAACUAUCAUCCAUGUUUACAACUCUCUUUAACAGUCAUGCAAUUAAAAACCGAAUCCUCAUCAUUGUGUUGGAAGGUACCCUAAGACACAAACAAACACACAAAACAACUUUAAAACGACUCUUUUUGGUGUUUUUCAAAACAUUUUUUCAAUUUUUUUCUGGGAUUUUCGGAUUUUUAUGUAAAACACACUAAAAUGCAUCAAAACAGCCUAAAAACACCUAAAAACAGCAAGGAACAACAUUGAAAGUUAUGGGUGAUAAACCCUACGAAUUUGCAUCAAAACACUUUGGUUACCCCCCCACACUUAAAUCAAACAUUGUCCUCAAUGUUUCAAGCAUAAACUAACACAAAUAACAAAUAAACAAACAAACAGCAACUAACAUAAUAAACAUGGCAGAAACGAAAUAAACAACAAAGAGAAAGGUUUAGGAACGCAAAUCUGGAAUUGGAGUGAUUCCUUGGCCUUCCUGAUGUGAAAAUUAUGUUGACACUCAAAUUAACCCUCUUUUUAUCAAUUGUAGCAAAGUAUGUAAGUAGGGAUC